RNAcentral lists this ribosomal RNA (927 nucleotides) under Thyridium sp. RNAcentral's name for it is "partial large subunit ribosomal RNA". It matches the Rfam family "Eukaryotic large subunit ribosomal RNA", at positions 27 to 983 of the family's 3401-position model. The record is from RNAcentral. Lineage: Eukaryota; Fungi; Ascomycota; Sordariomycetes; Thyridiales; Thyridiaceae.
GGGGAAUUUAUACAAUCAAUAAGCGGAGGAAAAGAAACCAACAGGGAUUGCCCUAGUAACGGCGAGUGAAGCGGCAACAGCUCAAAUUUGAAAUCUGGCUUCGGCCCGAGUUGUAAUUUGUAGAGGAUGCUUUUGGUGCGGUGCCUUCUGAGUUCCCUGGAACGGGACGCCUUAGAGGGUGAGAGCCCCGUAAAGUUGGACACCAAGCCUAUGUAAAGCUCCUUCGACGAGUCGAGUAGUUUGGGAAUGCUGCUCAAAAUGGGAGGUAAAUUUCUUCUAAAGCUAAAUACCGGCCAGAGACCGAUAGCGCACAAGUAGAGUGAUCGAAAGAUGAAAAGCACUUUGAAAAGAGGGUUAAACAGUACGUGAAAUUGUUGAAAGGGAAGCGCUCAUGACCAGACUUGUGCCCUGCGGAUCAUCCAGCCUUCUGGCUGGUGCACUUCGCUUGGUUCAGGCCAGCAUCGGUUCUCUGAGGGGGAUAAAAGCUUCAGGAACGUAGCUCUCUCGGGAGCAUUAUAGCCUGUUGCAGAAUACCUCUCGGGGGACCGAGGUUCGCGCAUCUGCAAGGAUGCUGGCGUAAUGGUCAUCAGCGACCCGUCUUGAAACACGGACCAAGGAGUCAAGCAUUAGUGCGAGUGUUUGGGUGUAAAACCCGCACGCGUAAUGAAAGUGAACGUAGGUGAGAGCUUCGGCGCAUCAUCGACCGAUCCUGAUGUAUUCGGAUGGAUUUGAGUAGGAGCAUUAACGCUUGGACCCGAAAGAUGGUGAACUAUGCUUGGAUAGGGUGAAGCCAGAGGAAACUCUGGUGGAGGCUCGCAGCGGUUCUGACGUGCAAAUCGAUCGUCAAAUCUGAGCAUGGGGGCGAAAGACUAAUCGAACCAUCUAGUAGCUGGUACGAGAGAUAUUUCCUCUCCCCAGAAGAAACCC